RNAcentral lists this ribosomal RNA (403 nucleotides) under uncultured soil bacterium. RNAcentral's name for it is "bacterial SSU rRNA". It matches the Rfam family "Bacterial small subunit ribosomal RNA", at positions 26 to 423 of the family's 1533-position model. The record is from RNAcentral.
AGAUUGAACGCUGGCGGCAUGCCUUACACAUGCAAGUCGAGCGGCAGCGCGGGGGCAACCCUGGCGGCGAGCGGCGAACGGGUGAGUAAUGCAUCGGAACGUGUCCUCUUGUGGGGGAUAACCAGUCGAAAGACUGGCUAAUACCGCAUGAGCUCGAGAGAGGAAAGCAGGGGAUCCGCAAGGACCUUGCGCGAGAGGAGCGGCCGAUGCCCGAUUAGCUAGUUGGUGGGGUAACGGCCUACCAAGGCGACGAUCGGUAGCUGGUCUGAGAGGACGACCAGCCACACUGGGACUGAGACACGGCCCAGACCUCCGUACGGGAGGCAGCAGGUGGGGAAUUUUGGACAAUGGGGGGCAACCCUGACUCCGAGCCAUCGCCGCGUGUGUAGGAAGAACGGCCGUU